ACGGAAGGCAGCAGUGAGGAAUAUUGGUCAAUGGGCGAGAGCCUGAACCAGCCAAGUAGCGUGAAGGAUGACUGCCCUACGGGUUGUAAACUUCUUUUAUACGGGAAUAAAAAAGGCCACGUGUGGCCUCUUGUAUGUACCGUAUGAAUAAGCAUCGGCUAAUUCCGUGCCAGCAGCCGCGGUAAUACGGAAGAUGCGAGCGUUAUCCGGAUUUAUUGGGUUUAAAGGGAGCGUAGGCGGGUCUUUAAGUCAGUGGUCAAAGCGUGUGGCUCAACCAUACCACGCCAUUGAUACUGGAGACCUUGAGUGCACAUAAGGAUGGUGGAAUUCGUCGUGUAGCGGUGAAAUGCUUAGAUAUCACGAAGAACUCCGACUGCGAAGGCAGCCGCCUGGGGUGCAACUGACACUGAGGCUCGAAGGUGCGGGAAUCAAACAGGAUUAGAUACCCUGGUA
This 453-nucleotide ribosomal RNA is filed under the name uncultured Prevotellaceae bacterium. RNAcentral's name for it is "bacterial SSU rRNA". It matches the Rfam family "Bacterial small subunit ribosomal RNA", at positions 341 to 792 of the family's 1533-position model. Lineage: Bacteria; Pseudomonadati; Bacteroidota; Bacteroidia; Bacteroidales; Prevotellaceae. The record is from RNAcentral.